UGGAUCAGAAUUUCUAAAACUGUGAGUUGUGGUAAACUUUGCCUUUUUGUAUGUUGACCUUUCUCAGGUGCUUAUCAUAGCAAUGGAAACCCAAUACCAAAGAGAUAUGUAUUUUCAGUAUGCUCUUUUCUACAUGGAUGGACCAACCAAGCUGUUUGGAAACAUGUGGAGUUCAUUAGGAGAUCAGAAUGAAUAUGUCCUAGGAGAUAUCUUCAGGUUUCUAAAAAGGAAUGGGUAACUCUCCUGGAAAUAUUCCAGACCACAUUUCCUGUAAGAAUAUGACUGCCAGCACUACCAAGAAAUGUUAGUCCAUCAAAGAGAGGAGAUAGUGAUGGAGCAGAGCAGCUUACACAGUGGCAGCCAUGAAGCAGAGACAGCGCUAUACAGCAGGGACUCUGGUCAUGCAACAGCUCGUAAGGACAAGCUCCCUGGUGAUACAUUUUCAUCACUAGCGUCACAUCUUCCACAGUUCACCACAUUGCAAUAAUGGCAUCCUAUCAGGAAUCAACCAGGAGACUAAUCCAUUGGAUAGAUACUGAUAUAAUUCUCUCUGGAGAAUCGAUCGCAGACAAAUCCAGGAUGGUUCUUAGAUAAUCUACGUGAUUCUCAGUCCAAACAAGCUGAGGAUCAAAUUGAACCAUCAAACCACAGCUGAACAAGCAUGGCCAGAAGACGCUGGCAAUAGAAACAUCCGGCCUUGGUAUUUUCAUCCUCUUAACUGAGCAUGUGCAUUUCCGGCAGGAGUAGACCAUCUUCCAGUUUAGAGUUAUCGCUUAUUUGGCGCCUACAAGGAGAACAAACCAUCGUUGACACUAAAGAGCGAAAGACCUGGGGAGUCUCAAGGAUAGCCCUGACCUUUGAUAACUAUCCAAUAACAUUUUCACCUGUAUCUUGGUCUAUAAAAGUAGAAUACUUGAAAUUAUAUAUCUGUUUAUAGUUUUAUAUCAAGCAUAUAGAAUCAUUGGAAAAACUAGAGGUCUUUCGCUCUCUCCCUUCCCCCCUCUCUCCACGUGGCCAUGGUCAGCCUCUCUCUCUCUACCUUUUUUCUGUCUCCCUGCCUUUCUAAAAUAAAGCUCUAAAACUAUAAAAAAGAGGUCUUUGA
This 1102-nucleotide long non-coding RNA is filed under the name Mus spicilegus (steppe mouse). Its description in RNAcentral is "lncRNA (ENSMSIG00000005246.1)". The record is from RNAcentral. Lineage: Eukaryota; Metazoa; Chordata; Mammalia; Rodentia; Muridae.